This 30-nucleotide small RNA is filed under the name Bombyx mori (domestic silkworm). Its description in RNAcentral is "piRNA piR-bmo-1907571". The record is from RNAcentral. Lineage: Eukaryota; Metazoa; Arthropoda; Insecta; Lepidoptera; Bombycidae.
UGGCUGCAUCUGUCCGCACUUUCAGUGCAA